Molecule: non-coding RNA, 24 nt
Filed under: Arabidopsis thaliana (thale cress)
Lineage: Eukaryota; Viridiplantae; Streptophyta; Magnoliopsida; Brassicales; Brassicaceae
Source: RNAcentral
UACAAUUUUCUUGGAAGCCAUUGU